GGCGGCAGCUUCUCUUCCUUCCUCUCCCCCCUCUUCCUCUUCCUCCUCCUCCUCCUCCUCUGCUUCCUCUUCCUCCUCCUCCUCUUCCUCCCCCUCCGUCUCCUCUUCCUCCUUCACCUUCCCCCGGGAGCCUUCGGCCUCCGAGGACUCUCCUUCCUCCUCCUCUUCCUCCUCCUCUUCUUCCUCUUCCUCUUCUUCCUCCUCAUCUUCCUCUUCCUCCUCUUCCUCCUCCUCUUCCUCCUCCUCCCGCUUCUUCCCCUGGGGAGGAAGAUUUUGGGGGGGGGGUUUGGAAUUCUGGGACCUCCCAAAAAUAUCCCUGGAGAAUUCCAGGGGGGGUUUCCCUUUUCCUGCCCUUCCUCUUCUUCCUCCUCCUCUUCCCCCUUUUAGGGACUUUCCCCCUUUUCCUGCCCUUCCUCUUCCUCCUCCUCUUCCUCCUUUCAGGGGAGUUUUCCCCUUCUUCCUCCUCCUCUUCCUCUUCCUCCUCCUCUUCCUCUUCCUCCUUUCAGGGGGGUUUUUCCCCUUUCCUGUCUUUCUUCCUCCUCCUCUUCCUCUUCCCCCUUUCAGGCACUUUCCCCCUUUUCCUGCCCUUCUUCCUCCUCCUCUUCCUCUUCCCCCUUCCAAGGGGGUUUUCCCCUUUUCCUGCCCUUCCUCUUCCUUCUCCUCUUCCUCCUCCUCUUCCUCUUCCUCCUUUUAGGGACUUUCCCCCUUUUCCUUCUCUUCCUCUUCCUCUUUCUCCUCUUAGGGACUUUUUCCCUUUUCCUCCUCUUCCUCCUUUCAGGCACUUUUCUCCCUUUUCCUUCUCUUCUUCGUGCUCUUCUUCCUCCUCCUCCUCCUGCUCUUCCUUCUUCUCUUCCUCUUCCUCCUCUUUCUCUUCCCCUUUCCUGGUCCUUUUCCUGUCCCUUUUCCAGCCCUUUUUCUGUCCCUUUCCUGUCUCUUUUCCAGCCUUUUCCCCAUUCCCAUUCCUGUGCCUUUUCCUGUCUCUUUUUCCAUCCCUUUUCCAGCCCUUUUCCUGUCCUUUUCCAGCCCUUUUCCUGUCCCUUUCCCAGCCCUUUUCCCAUCCCUUUCUUGUCUCUUUUCCAGCCCUUUUCCUGGCCCUUUUCCUGUUGCUUUCCUGUCCCUUUCCUGUCUCUUUUCCAGCCCUUUUCCUGGCCCUUUUCCUGUCCCUUUCCUGUCUCUUUUCUGGCCCUUUUCCAGCCCUUUUCCUGUCCCUUUCCCGUCUCUUUUCCCAUCCGUUUUCCCGCCCCUUUCCUGUCUCUUUUCCAGCCCUUUUCCUGUCCCUUUUCCAGCCCUUUUCCUGUCCCUUUUCCAGUCCCUUUCCUAUCUCUUUUCCAGCCCUUUUCCUGUUCCUUUUCCCAUCCCUUUUCCAGCCCUUUCCUGUCCCUUUUCCAGCCCUUUUCCUGUCCCUUUCCCGUCUCUUUUCCCAUCCGUUUCCCGCCCCUUUCCUGUCUCUUUUCCAGCCCUUUUCCUCUCCCUUUUCCAGCCCUUUUCCUGUCCCUUUUCCAUCCCUUUUCCAGCCCUUUUCCUGUCCUUUUCCUGUCCCUUUCCUGUCCCUUUUCCACCCCUUUUCCUGUCCCUUUCCUGCCCCUUUCCCAUCCCUUUUCCUGUCCCUUUCCAGCCCUUUUCCUGACCCUUUUCCCGUCCCUUUUUUGUCCCUUUCCCCCUUUCCCACCCUGCUGUUCCUGCUGCUCCCGCUGCUCCUGUUUUCCAUGUUUUCCUGCCUCUGGCAGAAGUGCUGGAUGACCCUGUCCAGGCUCUGCAGGGCCACGCGCCGGUUCCUCCGCAGCCGCUGCGCCAGCGCCGGGUCCGACAGCGCCGGGUCCGUGCCUGGAAAGCCACACAAAUUCCAUGUUCUCCGCAGCCCACGCCCAUUCCAGGACCUUUUCCC
Molecule: long non-coding RNA, 1885 nt
Filed under: Manacus vitellinus (golden-collared manakin)
Lineage: Eukaryota; Metazoa; Chordata; Aves; Passeriformes; Pipridae
Description: lncRNA (ENSMVIG00005005930.1)
Source: RNAcentral